Oncorhynchus tshawytscha (Chinook salmon) is the source of this 2441-nucleotide long non-coding RNA. RefSeq lists it as uncharacterized. The record is from RefSeq and is a predicted model, not a curated record. Lineage: Eukaryota; Metazoa; Chordata; Actinopteri; Salmoniformes; Salmonidae. The transcript has 3 exons.
CUUUUCAUUUUCUAUCGGUUUUGUCUUGUCUUCCAUCACACCUGGUUCCAAUUCCAUCAAUUACAUGUUGUGUAUUUAACCCUCUGUUCCCCCUCAUGUCCUUGUCGGUAAUGGUUUCUGGUAGUGCUUUUGCAUGGUACGCUGGUAUUUACCAGGUUUUGUUUGACCCAUUUAUUGUGUUGUUCUGUUGACAGGUGGUUUAUGGAUAUUAAAGGACACUGUUGUAAAUCAGUUUUCGCUCUCCUGCGCCUGACUUCUCUGCCGCCAGUACGCACCUCACUACAACUGGUCCCAUCAUAGCCCUUAUAAAACCAUUUUACAGCUGAAUAAUCACUCAUAACUUUAUAGGGUCCAGAGUUGUCCUGGUUAGGUUAACAGAUAAGGAAAAACUCUGGGUCCCAGGGGAUAAAUGGAAUGUUUCCUUUCCAAGCACUUCAAAUCCUGUCCUGAAGUCAAGCCUCUGAACACCUCAACUCAUGCCUCAUACCCUCAUUCAAUCACUGCUGUGAUCCCUUUCCAACACUGUGUGGCCAUAGCUGUGGAUUCCAGAGUGGAUUCCUGUGUGUUGUGACCAAGAGAACAGAUGCCUUGGGUUCAGUGAAAACAAUUACAGGGUUGCUUACUGUACACACACACACCAGGCCACCGCAGGGGAGAGGGGACCUGUCCUGCUCCCAGUGUUGUGUGUUUUCAGUCCCACUCCAGACUAAUUCCUCCACAUAGAAACACAGGGAUGUGUGUCUGUGUGCCUGUGUGCUUGAUGAGGUCACCCAGCAGACUGAGCCAGAGGGAAACUGAACAGGCAAACAUGACUGAACAGGAGGGAGGACCACUCUUUUGCGUCCCAAAUGGCACCCUAAUUCCCUUUAUAGUGCACUACUUCUGAACAGGGCCCACACAUAUACAUGCAUGCGUACACACACACACACACACACACACUCUCCAGUGAAAAUGACUAUUUAAAACACUAUCCUUACUGGGGAUGUUUAGUGUGAGUGUAUGUGUUGAACAGAUGUUUUUAUACACAGUGCUGAUUUCCUCAACAAGUUGCAGCAUUGCCCUGUACUGCCCCGGGACAGCACGUACCCUUGCCUCCACGCAAAACAACUAGCAGGUACAAAGAAUGUACAAAUCAGAAUGGGUGGAACAGACAUUCCUUUUCAAAACAAUGUUAUGUACAUGUCAACUCAAAGCAAUAUCACGUUGCAAUGUCACAACAAAUCACCGUUAUAUGAUAGAAGCAUGGCUUGUGAGAAGGAGAGAGGGAGAAAGAUACAUAGUUAAAUAGAGAGAAAGGAAGAGAUAAUGUUUAAAAAGAAAAAGAUGAGAGGGAGAGGAAAUAGCUGGAUGUCUGAAGGGACUCAUAAAUCCAGAAAGAGAGGAAUGAGAAAGAUGACUGUUGGACUCCCUGGGGGUUGUGUUUGGAGACUCAGUCGGGGGCUGGAGGAGGUUGUGAAAGACCAGGGGGAAUUAGCAGAGGCAGGUGGAAGCAUAGGAGUCAGAAACAAUAUUUGCAAAAUGUACCAUACGGCAUUAUAAAGCAAUCUGAAUUGGAAUGAAAGUUUGAGGGGCCAGGCUGUUUGGAGUAGUAGGUGGAUGGGGAAGGUUGCAAGAGAUAAGGGGUGAUUGGGGGAGGCAGUGAGCUGGUGGAGAGGUCAGGUAGGUAGAGUACAGUUACUGUGCUGCUCCAUCACUCAUCUGACGUAACGCACUGACAUCCACAUCCAUCCGUUCACAUGGAGUUAUUGAACUAAGCGCGUGUAAGUAAGAGGGGAGCUUGACUGAUGACGGUAUCGGUGGGAGCCACAGGUCGGUUCCAUCUGAAUCUCAUACCUUAUGAAUCACAGCUUGAGACUAGAUUGGAUACAGAUUCAGAAACACUGGGUUGGUGUAUUGGAUGCAUCACGAGAAAAUGUACAAGGCUUCAGAGGGGUCACAGUGCCCCUCUCACUGUGGGGAACCUCUGGCCUGGUGAAGCUGACAGAAGCUCUACGACUAAAAAAAUAGACCCCUACUUUAUCAUCCCUGUAAUUCUUCUUUCUCUUAUCUGAGCAGACCAGAAACCUUUCAAUAUACAGUAUACAUUUAAACAAUACUUUAGAACCAUUUAAAUACAAUAAAUUGGAAGGUUGUGCAGGACCAUGGUAGAUGAAGGAACCAAUCUUUUCAGACUGUUAGAGUAUUUAUCUGGUCAGUAAGGCAGGGUAUUAUGUCUGCUGUUUGUAACUGUUUGUUAUAUGUGAAAAUGUGAUUGUAUUAUACAUUGUGGACGAAAAGAGAUCCUAAUCAAAUCUCUCACCCUGUCUCCUGGUAUUUUGUGUUGAAACUCCUUUACUUUAUCACCACAGUAAUGGCAGGUUGAUAAAGUAUUUGACAUGGUGAACUUUACCCAGUUACAGUUUGCACAAUUAACAUAACCAUUAAAACACAAUAAAAAAUGA